AAACGAAGCAAAUAAGAAGUAAAAGCAUGUUUCGGAUGCAAGGAGCGAAUAGUAAUUGGGAUAAUUGCGUCGCCAUAGAAUAUCGGUAAUAAAAGCAAGGUGUUGAAACGGGUCACUCGGUUGACUCGAGCCAGGUGAAUGUCGAGAGUCCCGGAUGAAGAUCGAGCAUCGAGCA
Helianthus annuus (common sunflower) is the source of this 175-nucleotide long non-coding RNA. RefSeq lists it as uncharacterized. The record is from RefSeq and is a predicted model, not a curated record. The transcript is spliced from 3 exons. NCBI's taxonomy places the organism in Eukaryota, Viridiplantae, Streptophyta, Magnoliopsida, Asterales, Asteraceae.